CUGUGAUCAUCUGCACAUUUCUGCCCCUUUGUUCCAGGAGACGUGAUGAACAGAAGCACCGUCAGAGCCUGUCUAUCGACCAACAGGAUGGAGCCUGAACCGGGCCUUUCUCUGCCACACGGAGGAGACGCUGCUUUGUGACGCUCGUCUCGUCUGGACGAUCUGAUGCAGGCAGCGACCAGACGGUCCAGAAGCAAACUGCACCAGCCAAGACGUACAACCCCCGCACAUACAACAUCGUGUAGAGUGAGGUGUUAAUGAGCCAGCUGUGGAUUCAUGUCCCACCUCCUCCACCAGCGCCACAGGUUCCUGCAAAUCCACAAAAGGCCGCUACCUCACGGUCCGAUGCUCUGCUGCUGCGCCACCACCGCACCAGCAAACAAGCCGCGCUGUUUCAGAUGUGGGGAGCAGCGUGGUGUUUCCUGAUUGGAGCUGACUACAGCAAGGCCACAGCCAAUUAUCUCAGCAGGCCCACAGACUGUGAUCUUCAGACGCAGCGGUUAGUUUGCCUCCAGAGGAAGGAGAGGACCUGCAGUGUGUGUUUGGAGUCUGGUUGAAAGGUUUAUGUUAAGUUGAGUCUUUUGAUUCCAGCUCAGCAGCUGCCUGUGAUCAGAGCCAUCCUUGUCUGGUAUCAGCUUGUUCACCUGAGGCUGUUUCUAGAGGAGCGCGUCCCCCAGAUGGAACAGUCUAUACUGGAAGCACUGGUCGACUGCUCGGGCUGCAGUGGCGGCGGUGAAGUAGAACUCAUGAUUGCACUUACAGUAGAUCAACACAAACCAGCGGCACAAGCCUCAGUCCAUGAAGC
RNAcentral lists this long non-coding RNA (805 nucleotides) under Betta splendens (Siamese fighting fish). RNAcentral's name for it is "lncRNA (ENSBSLG00000021037.1)". The record is from RNAcentral. Lineage: Eukaryota; Metazoa; Chordata; Actinopteri; Anabantiformes; Osphronemidae.